Molecule: non-coding RNA, 75 nt
Organism: Galeopterus variegatus (Sunda flying lemur)
Lineage: Eukaryota; Metazoa; Chordata; Mammalia; Dermoptera; Cynocephalidae
Source: the annotation of a RefSeq genome assembly
GGCCGGUUAGCUCAGUUGGUUAGAGUGCGGUGCUGAUAACACCGAGGUCUCAGGGUUUGAUCCCUGUACUGGCCA